AUUAAUUUUAAAUAAACAAUUGAGUGUGAAGUCACUGCACAUUUCCUGGUGUUUUUUUGGUACCUGAAAGAGAGUUUUUUUAGUUAAAUUGUGCACCUUUUCCACUAGGCCAGAACGUUUGUACAUUUAGAAGACAUAAGUUACGUCAAUUUAAUGGCAGAUGUGCUCCGCUAAUUAUGUGGGCCGGUCUGAGCCAAAAAAUGCCCGGGCCGUUUUGUUCUCCCAGUCCAGCCCUGCAUCGGAUGAAUAAUACGUUUUGAAGUUCAGCUUGUUCUUCUGGCAGAGAGGCUAAAGACGUGUGAGCUCCCGUUUCUGAGGGAUGGACGAGCCUGAAGGACACAGCUGUGCUGACCGUUUUCUCUCUUAUGGUAAAGAAGAAAAAUAAAACACUGGGUUCUUAUCUAAAGUGUAUCAAAUCAAGAAGCAAAAGAUAAACAUUGUUCUAAUAAGUGUUCAUUUGAAUAUAUAAUAUAUAAUGAAAAUAGAAAUAAACUCUUAUCCAUGACACUUAGCAAUGACUGCCAACUCUAAACAGUUGCAGGCCUUCUUUAGUUGGGGAGGAAAACACAAAGUGUUGUGCAGAUGAAGCUGGUGCAUGUCGCCUCAUGUUGAUAAUAAUAAAUUAUGCAAGUUAUUUGA
This is a long non-coding RNA of Limanda limanda (common dab), 639 nucleotides long. RefSeq lists it as uncharacterized. The transcript has 2 exons. Lineage: Eukaryota; Metazoa; Chordata; Actinopteri; Pleuronectiformes; Pleuronectidae. The record is from RefSeq and is a predicted model, not a curated record.